Long non-coding RNA from Alosa sapidissima (American shad), 158 nucleotides. RefSeq lists it as uncharacterized. The record is from RefSeq and is a predicted model, not a curated record. The transcript has 3 exons. NCBI's taxonomy places the organism in Eukaryota, Metazoa, Chordata, Actinopteri, Clupeiformes, Clupeidae.
GGAAAGAGAGAGAGAUGUGAGGAAAGAGAGAGAGAGAGAUAGAGAGAGAGAGAGAGGGAGUGUGUGUGUGUCUGCAUCCUUUCUCUACAAGAGAGGAUGGACCAGGUGUGUGUAGGUGUGUGUGUGUGUGUGAGUGUGAGUGUGUGUGGGUGAGUGUG